AUGGUUGGAUGUGUGCUGGGCACAUCUUUAUGUCCAAAUAACAUUUGGCAGUACUAUUCCUGGUGUUAUAUUUUCCUUCCUGAUGGAACCAAACUUUACACCUCUGGUUUGGCGGCAAUCUGUUGGGCGAUUUGGAACAAUCGUAACCGAGCUACGUUUGAACAUAAAGAUCUCAAAAGCCCUUUUAAUGUGGUGUAUGCUGCUUGUGGUUUUUUGAUGUACUGGGCAGGUUUGAUGGCUGGCGAUGAUCGGGAGACCAUGGAGCGUGGAGCCAAGAUGCUCAGGUCCAGUGCAUCGAUGAUGAUGAGAAUCUGCGCGGCUCCAACCAACUCAGCUUCAAACUGA
This 345-nucleotide ribosomal RNA is filed under the name Triticum aestivum (bread wheat). Its description in RNAcentral is "partial small subunit ribosomal RNA". Lineage: Eukaryota; Viridiplantae; Streptophyta; Magnoliopsida; Poales; Poaceae. The record is from RNAcentral.